AAAGUCGUAACAAGGUAACCGUAGGUGAACCUGCGGUUGGAUCAUUAAUGAUGCUUUAAGAUUCAGUGUGAGUACAGAAGGAGAAACCUGCCUGGUUUCCCUUCUCUCCUGGAUCCCAACAUUGUACACCCAUUCUUUGUGCACCCUGUACUGUCUCUGGCAGUCGUAAGAGCGGUUUCUUGCUGCUCUUCUAGUUCAUUUGUCUUUGGCCAAAUGGAUGAAGCUGCCAACCGUAUGUAACACACAACAGCCGCCAUCUGAAUUUUAUCGACUGAAAAUUUUGAUCCAUUCAAAUACACAAAAACAACUUUUGGCAACGGAUCUCUUGGCUCUC
Molecule: unclassified non-coding RNA, 334 nt
Filed under: Chytridiomycota sp.
Lineage: Eukaryota; Fungi; Chytridiomycota
Description: partial contains small subunit ribosomal RNA, internal transcribed spacer 1, and 5.8S ribosomal RNA
Rfam family: Eukaryotic small subunit ribosomal RNA (bases 1-47)
Source: RNAcentral